UUACCUCUUUUGUUAUAAAUUAGUGGACACUGGGUAUUGAAAACUGCAGAUAGGUGUCCCAAAUUCACCAUUUUAGGACCUCUCCCCCUCUCUCUUUCUCUCUCAUUUUCUUGAGGUAGUUAGGCUUAAUUUCUAGCUAGAGUUAUAGUAGUGGCAUCGAACGAAGAGAAGGGGUGUGUGUGAGCAAGAUGGAGAAGCAGGGCACGUGCACUACUAACUCAUGCACACAGAGAGGGAGACGCAUUUCUUGCUGGAGCUACGAGUUACGACUCUUACCUACUAUUGAUUUUGUUGGCUCCAGUGAGUUAGUUAUUCAUGUGCCUGUCUUCCCCAUCAUGAUCACUACCACACCUAGCUAUAUUGCUCCAUCUCGGGCACUUCAAGUAGGAGAAUCUCCAGUUCAGGUGCUGAAUCCAUGCAUGCAGGUGAGUCGUAUCCAAACCAAUAUCAGAUACUGAUUAGAAUAAUUUAUCGACUGUGGUUUUUGUGAAGCUAUGGCGACAUAAGCAUUGCAUACCCAACUACUUCUCUUUUCUCUUAUGGUCGAAAGGGGAUAAAGAUCAAGAAAAGAUUUGCACUUCAUGUAUGUCCUAUCUGAUCUGAGUGGAUAUAUAAUAUUGCCAUAUUGCAAAUUGUGAGCUGGUGAGUGAUAUAUUUUUAAACAAAAAUGUCAUGCAUGGUGGAUAAAGAUAGUAAUAUUAAUUAGCAGUGAAGUUUGAUCCAACUAUCACCAGAGGAUUUGUUUUCUACUAUCUCUAUAUAAUCUCGAGAGAUGCCAUUUCACAAGAAAAAAUUGCAAAAGUAUCCGGCAGUACGUCUAGCAACUCCAAUUAAUGGGUUAAUAUUUAUAUUUUUUUUCGUAAUAUAUGGUGUUUUUGUUUUUUGAAGUAACAUUUAUUCUCUCUCUCUCUCUCUCUCUCUCUCUCUCUCUCUCUCUUUUUAUGGUAAUCAUCGAAAAUACAUUAAAACUAUAAUAAAGUCAAUGGCCGAAGCAAUAUAUAUAACAAGAAAAAAAAUGAAUUCUUCUCUCUUCUAGUUUUGCUGACUAGCUUAAUUAGUAAUCUCUAGCCAUAUUAUUUCAGAAGAAUAGAUUGCAUAAAAAAAAAUAACCAGCUCUAGCAGGAUCAAUAAACAUUAAUCCCAUGAUAUAAUAUUUAUAAUUCUACAUAUCUAUUGUAGUUGUUUUUUCUUAUGAAAUAACAUUUCUCCUCUACCUCCCUCAUUAUUUUGUGAAGUAAACCUUGUAAGGAAAAUAUUUAAAAUAAUUAUCUUUAUUGGAUUCUAGAAUUGAAUUUAAAAAUUUUAAACCCUGUAAGUCUAGAAUUGCUUCUAAGUGAAAUUAUAUAUAUAUAUAAAAUUUCACUUAUCCAGAUGAAUCACAGUAUAUAUAUGUGUGUGUGUGUAAUAUAAACAAGGUUUUCUCCAGGAUUUCACGAUGGUAUUGUUCUUUUAUGUAAUGCUUUCUUUUUGUGAAACCAGCAUUUAAUUAGAGCCUCAAAAAAAAAAAAAAAAAAAGGACAGAGAGACAGCGACACUUUAGAAGCAAAAGAGUCUUUACAUUGACAGGCCAUGCCAGCCAUUAUUAUAUAUUGCUUAUGUCUGUGCUGUAAUUUUAAUUUUCAUAUAAUUGUAAAGAUAUAUAGCAGUCAACUUUAUGUUUUAGACAAGAGUUUUUAUUUGAGAAUUAGUGAAUAAUAUUGUUAUGAUAUUUUGUUUUAAUGUUUGGAAGAAUUAUAGUUGUCUUAACACAUUAUUUAUUUAUAUGAAUGCGACUGAACUCUUCCGAGAUGUUUCUUGUCGAUCAUUAAUUAGGGUUAGCUUCCUUUUCUCUACUCCUUCCACCAUUAAGUGGUAGAGGUUGUUAAAGAGGGUGUCUGUCAAUGCUGCUCUCAUUCUUCACCAAUAAGAAGAAUUAGGGAAACAUGGAGCAAACCAACUGAGGCCUCAUAUUUUCCAAGAAACGUGUGGGAUAUAGCACUUUGGGGGCUACCAUGUAGGGGACAGUACAAGAUAGCAGCAAAAGCCACCGUAUAAAAUGUCUCUGUUCCGUCAAAAUAUUUAGCUCUUUUCCCUCUCAUCCUCGUCGGAAUGACAAUGAAAUGCCAUUCACGGCAUCUUGCCUUCUCUAUUAGAAAAUGAUAUAUAUAUAUAUAUAUAUAUAUAUAUGGCCUUAAUUUUACAUGUAAUGCAUAUCUUUCGUUUUCUCUUUGCUCCUUCGUUAAGCUAUCAUUUUCACUUUUUCAAGGAUUAUAUAUAUGUUGCCUUUUAUAUGUAACGUAAAUCUUUCAUUUUGUUUUGUCGUUCACAUUAUCAUUUUCUCUCUUUUUUUAAAAAAAAAAAAAAGUGAAGCAUCAAUGAGUUGUACAUAUUUAUGUCUUUCCUUUCUCUAAAAGAUCUGGAGUUCAAACAUUUCUUAUAUAAUAAUAAAAGCAAUUAUUUCACAUGGAGCAUGAUCAUGCAUUGAAAUUAAUGGAUCCAUUGCAUCAGGAUUCAAGUCAGGUUAAUCUGGACUUUGCUUUGUUUUUUGCUCAUGCGUGUCCAUCGGACCGGCUAUAUAUUCCGGCUGAUUUGUAGCCGAGUACUUUGACCGAGCUUCAGGCUUCGUAGUCCUGGCUCCAAUUUGAAAUGGACGUUAAACUUUCAACAAUUUAGAGAGAAGUCCUUCUAGCACCUAAAAGUCCACUUCACGAAAGUCCUUUCAAACGAAAAGGCAGAAAGUGAAUGAAUUUUUAUUUUUUUUUCCUGCUCUUUAUGGUGGCUUAUAUGGAGUUGUUCUCCCACUGGAGUUGGAAAGUCAGUGAAUUUUUAACUAUCCUUUGCCAAAUAUAUAGAAUUCUCCUAGGAGUUGUGGAACAAAAUUAUUCUACCACCAACUCAUGCUGAAGGCC
Molecule: long non-coding RNA, 2888 nt
Organism: Populus nigra (black poplar)
Lineage: Eukaryota; Viridiplantae; Streptophyta; Magnoliopsida; Malpighiales; Salicaceae
Exons: 2
Source: RefSeq, a predicted model, not a curated record